This 2902-nucleotide ribosomal RNA is filed under the name Klebsiella aerogenes. RNAcentral describes it as "23S ribosomal RNA". It matches the Rfam family "Bacterial large subunit ribosomal RNA". Lineage: Bacteria; Pseudomonadati; Pseudomonadota; Gammaproteobacteria; Enterobacterales; Enterobacteriaceae. The record is from RNAcentral.
UUAAGCGACUAAGCGUACACGGUGGAUGCCCUGGCAGUCAGAGGCGAUGAAGGACGUGCUAAUCUGCGAAAAGCGUCGGUAAGGUGAUAUGAACCGUUAUAGCCGGCGAUGUCCGAAUGGGGAAACCCAGUGUGAUUCGUCACACUAUCGUUAACUGAAUACAUAGGUUAACGAGGCGAACCGGGGGAACUGAAACAUCUAAGUACCCCGAGGAAAAGAAAUCAACCGAGAUUCCCCCAGUAGCGGCGAGCGAACGGGGAGCAGCCCAGAGUCUGAAUCAGCUUGUGUGUUAGUGGAACGGUCUGGAAAGUCCGACGGUACAGGGUGAUAGUCCCGUACACCAAAAUGCACAGGUUGUGAACUCGAAGAGUAGGGCGGGACACGUGGUAUCCUGUCUGAAUAUGGGGGGACCAUCCUCCAAGGCUAAAUACUCCUGACUGACCGAUAGUGAACCAGUACCGUGAGGGAAAGGCGAAAAGAACCCCGGCGAGGGGAGUGAAAAAGAACCUGAAACCGUGUACGUACAAGCAGUGGGAGCACCUUCGGGUGUGACUGCGUACCUUUUGUAUAAUGGGUCAGCGACUUAUAUUCUGUAGCAAGGUUAACCGUAUAGGGGAGCCGCAGGGAAACCGAGUCUUAACUGGGCGUUAAGUUGCAGGGUAUAGACCCGAAACCCGGUGAUCUAGCCAUGGGCAGGUUGAAGGUUGGGUAACACUAACUGGAGGACCGAACCGACUAAUGUUGAAAAAUUAGCGGAUGACUUGUGGCUGGGGGUGAAAGGCCAAUCAAACCGGGAGAUAGCUGGUUCUCCCCGAAAGCUAUUUAGGUAGCGCCUCGUGAAUUCAUCUUCGGGGGUAGAGCACUGUUUCGGCUAGGGGGUCAUCCCGACUUACCAACCCGAUGCAAACUACGAAUACCGAAGAAUGUUAUCACGGGAGACACACGGCGGGUGCUAACGUCCGUCGUGAAGAGGGAAACAACCCAGACCGCCAGCUAAGGUCCCAAAGUCACAGUUAAGUGGGAAACGAUGUGGGAAGGCACAGACAGCCAGGAUGUUGGCUUAGAAGCAGCCAUCAUUUAAAGAAAGCGUAAUAGCUCACUGGUCGAGUCGGCCUGCGCGGAAGAUGUAACGGGGCUAAACUGUGCACCGAAGCUGCGGCAGCGACACUUAGGUGUUGUUGGGUAGGGGAGCGUUCUGUAAGCCUGAGAAGGUGGCCUGUGAGGGUUGCUGGAGGUAUCAGAAGUGCGAAUGCUGACAUAAGUAACGAUAAUGCGGGUGAAAAGCCCGCACGCCGGAAGACCAAGGGUUCCUGUCCAACGUUAAUCGGGGCAGGGUGAGUCGACCCCUAAGGCGAGGCCGAAAGGCGUAGUCGAUGGGAAACAGGUUAAUAUUCCUGUACUUGGUGUUACUGCGAAGGGGGGACGGAGAAGGCUAUGUUAGCCGGGCGACGGUUGUCCCGGUUUAAGCAUGUAGGCGGAGGUUCCAGGUAAAUCCGGUACCUUUUAACGCUGAGGUGUGAUGACGAGGCACUACGGUGCUGAAGUAACAAAUGCCCUGCUUCCAGGAAAAGCCUCUAAGCAUCAGGUAACAUUAAAUCGUACCCCAAACCGACACAGGUGGUCAGGUAGAGAAUACCAAGGCGCUUGAGAGAACUCGGGUGAAGGAACUAGGCAAAAUGGUGCCGUAACUUCGGGAGAAGGCACGCUGAUAUGUAGGUGAAGCCCCUGCGGGUGGAGCUGAAAUCAGUCGAAGAUACCAGCUGGCUGCAACUGUUUAUUAAAAACACAGCACUGUGCAAACACGAAAGUGGACGUAUACGGUGUGACGCCUGCCCGGUGCCGGAAGGUUAAUUGAUGGGGUUAUCCGUAAGGAGAAGCUCUUGAUCGAAGCCCCGGUAAACGGCGGCCGUAACUAUAACGGUCCUAAGGUAGCGAAAUUCCUUGUCGGGUAAGUUCCGACCUGCACGAAUGGCGUAAUGAUGGCCAGGCUGUCUCCACCCGAGACUCAGUGAAAUUGAACUCGCUGUGAAGAUGCAGUGUACCCGCGGCAAGACGGAAAGACCCCGUGAACCUUUACUAUAGCUUGACACUGAACAUUGAGCCUUGAUGUGUAGGAUAGGUGGGAGGCUUUGAAGCGUGGACGCCAGUCUGCGUGGAGCCAACCUUGAAAUACCACCCUUUAAUGUUUGAUGUUCUAACGUUGGCCCCUAAUCGGGGUUGCGGACAGUGUCUGGUGGGUAGUUUGACUGGGGCGGUCUCCUCCCAAAGAGUAACGGAGGAGCACGAAGGUUAGCUAAUCCUGGUCGGACAUCAGGAGGUUAGUGCAAUGGCAUAAGCUAGCUUGACUGCGAGCGUGACGGCGCGAGCAGGUGCGAAAGCAGGUCAUAGUGAUCCGGUGGUUCUGAAUGGAAGGGCCAUCGCUCAACGGAUAAAAGGUACUCCGGGGAUAACAGGCUGAUACCGCCCAAGAGUUCAUAUCGACGGCGGUGUUUGGCACCUCGAUGUCGGCUCAUCACAUCCUGGGGCUGAAGUAGGUCCCAAGGGUAUGGCUGUUCGCCAUUUAAAGUGGUACGCGAGCUGGGUUUAGAACGUCGUGAGACAGUUCGGUCCCUAUCUGCCGUGGGCGCUGGAGAAUUGAGGGGGGCUGCUCCUAGUACGAGAGGACCGGAGUGGACGCAUCACUGGUGUUCGGGUUGUCAUGCCAAUGGCAUUGCCCGGUAGCUAAAUGCGGAAGAGAUAAGUGCUGAAAGCAUCUAAGCACGAAACUUGCCCCGAGAUGAGUUCUCCCUGAGACUUUAAGUCUCCUGAAGGAACGUUAAAGACGAUGACGUUGAUAGGUCGGGUGUGUAAGCGUAGCGAUACGUUGAGCUAACCGAUACUAAUGAACCGUGAGGCUUAACCU